This is a long non-coding RNA of Gambusia affinis (western mosquitofish), 234 nucleotides long. RefSeq lists it as uncharacterized. The transcript is spliced from 3 exons. NCBI's taxonomy places the organism in Eukaryota, Metazoa, Chordata, Actinopteri, Cyprinodontiformes, Poeciliidae. The record is from RefSeq and is a predicted model, not a curated record.
AGGGGCGACAUUAUCACAAAGCCCAGGAUGAUGAGGGCGGAGCAGCUGUUGUCGUCGAGGUAGCGGCAGAUAGCUGCCGGGGCGUCGAGGAUCUGGAAGGACAAAAUCCCUGCACACGCUGCUUCCUGUGAAGCAUGACCCAGCUCCCCUUGAAGCAGGCGUGCAGGAGUCACAGUGCGCCAGAGACUCGGUGGACUGUGGGAACGUGUUUGGGACGCUGUAGCUGAAGCACUG